UUGACCUCAGUUCAGACAAGGCU
Molecule: ribosomal RNA, 23 nt
Filed under: Micromonas pusilla
Lineage: Eukaryota; Viridiplantae; Chlorophyta; Mamiellophyceae; Mamiellales; Mamiellaceae
Also listed under: 2 other names
Description: partial 26S ribosomal RNA
Source: RNAcentral